This is a long non-coding RNA of Oxyura jamaicensis (ruddy duck), 2944 nucleotides long. RefSeq lists it as uncharacterized. The transcript has 2 exons. The record is from RefSeq and is a predicted model, not a curated record. Lineage: Eukaryota; Metazoa; Chordata; Aves; Anseriformes; Anatidae.
UCAGGGCACUAGGUCUCCUGUCAGAUUGCCCUGACCAUUUUUAUUUUCUGAAACUGAACUUCCUGAAUGGGCUGUUGUGAAGCAUUUUGCAAAAAAGACAUCCCAAUUUCUGGCACAAAGGUGCUGCAGUUCACCUCUACCCUUCCUUAGAAAGUUCUUCUUGAUGCCCUGCAGACAGAGCUGGAGAAGCAAUGGGACCUUCCUUGAGCUGCUGCUCUUGCUGCCUUACAGAAGGCAGUCUUGACAAAGAUAAUGUUAAGGACUCUUCAAGAUACCAGAGUUGAAAAUGGAUGUCAUGAUUAUUUUGGAGAAGACUAACUGUUGUUGAUAGACUAUUUAAACAGCCUGGUUAGGAGGCAAAUGCACAGGCACCUUUACCUCCUCCAUAAGCUCCUUUCUCUGAACAGAAAGAUUCAAUAUAUUUGUUAUUUUCUAUACGCUUUUAAGGUUCAGAAGCACUACAACUGAGAUCUAAUGUUUGUUUUUUCACUCUACUCAAUAUUAAGUCCAGUCCAGUUCAGGAAAGUCCUUAUUUUUUAAGAAACAACUUCUAAAAUAUCUUUGAAGGGCACCUGCAAAGAGUCAGAAUGGAAACAAGGAUGUCUGGAGUCAUGUUGUCAUGAUGGCUCGCUUUCACACUGGCAUACUGAGGAAUGCAUUCUGGGUCAGUGAGAUUGCUGAAAAUACAGGGUACAGAAGGCUUUCUGAGCAUAAUGAAACUGGCUUAUUUGCAGUAACUAUUUUCCCAAAAAUACAUUCAUUAAAAUGAAGUGGCUGAGUAAGACUGUGAUUCAAAAGUAAUUUAAUAUGCAUGGUUAUCACAACCCACACUGUAAAACAUUUAGUAUAAGAAUAUAGUGAAAUGACACUUGACCAUCAAUAAAAAUAAGAUCAAAGUCUGUGUCACAUGCUCACUCCUUCAGUCUAAAAUUAAGUUAUAAGCACUUUCCUUAACAAACAGCAACCUUCACUGGCUUUAGUGAUCAAUUUAUAAGAAAUCAGUUAUUUUGAGAAAAGAAAGAAAAAAGUCAAAUUAAAUGUGAAGCCUUUGUAAGCUUCUGAUGCAUGGUACUUUGUAGUUGGAGUCUGUACCAUUAAUGUUUAUUUCUUUAUAAUAUUCUUUUAAAAAUAUAAUAAUUUCAAAAGUUUUGUUUCCUUCUGUGUCCUUUUAGUUUUAGAUGUCUAAGUAUAUCAGAAUGUUAUUAUAUCCAUAAUAGUCACCCUGAAAUGUCCAUAUAUUUUAAGAGGUAAUUCCUACCUUGUUUUAGGAGACAAAAUGAGCAUAGUCAGAUACACAUAAAUCAAGAAAAUACAAACUUAUCUUCAUCUUUUGUAGAGGGUGAGAGACAUAACAUAUGACAUAAACACCAAAUACUGUGCUAUAUAUUUAUCUAUAUUAGUGAUGGACAAGAUCUGUUGUGGAUAAGAAAAUUAAUAACACUGAAUGAGAUCAGUAGGCAUAAAAGGGGAAGGGUGUGCAAUAGCAUGGUAUGUCAGAAAUGUUAGAAAAAAUAAGAGCGGAAGAGUAGAGGAUAUAAUUCUGUACAAAACUGUUUCUGGAAGUAUGAGAAGAGAUCUUGUCUGGAUUAUAUUAUAGCUCAUCAGUAGGCUUUUGUGGUCAGACUGAGACAUAGAAAAGUAAAAUUAUGUCAAUGAGAAACAUGAAAACUACGGAGAAUUUGGUCACUAUAGACCAUUGCAGACUCCCAUAAUUGCCUGUCCUUGCUAAUACCAGUAAGUUCCAGCUACUCUGCUUUUGUCAUCCAAGAGUCAACAGAGCAACAAGAGCUGAUUGUCUUGAGCUUAUUUCCAGCAAUGUAUUACCGAAGUUCAUAUGGAAAACAGACUGCAUGUUCAUGAGUUUAUUCAGUUUAAAUUAAAUGGAAGGAUAAACAAAAAUAGGUCUUUAACUAAAGACUUUAAUUUUGGAAAAGGAAGACUUUGAAAGAUUAAGAAAACUAAUUAGUGAAGUCAAAUGAAAUGAAGAGCUACUGGAUUUCAAUAUAGACAAGACUUGGAAUGUAGAGGAGGUUGACCUCAAGUGCAUACAAGACCUUUGAACAAAUUUUGAAAGAAAGAAUAAUUAGGGACAUGGUAGUUAAGUGAGAAAUGCACCAUGGGUUGACUAAGGUUGAUCAUGCUAAGGUUGUCUCUUUCUUUAUGAGAUGACUAAUUUUCUGAAAUAAUAAUAAUAAAUAAUAAUAAAGAAAAUAGCUUUCUACAAACAAAGAAAAUUUAAUUUGUCAGGAUUUCAGAAGAGCAUUUAAAAUGGUAUCACAUAAGAAAUUAUUAAGUAAACCUUAGAAAAUGAGGAUUAAUAAAAGAAAUGUGGGUUAGUAGACCAUAAAAGACUCUAGGUAACAAUAGCAGGCUUUGUUAAAAGGACACUAUUGACCGAAAAGGGAUGUUUUUAAUACAGCUAACAUGUAUCAUUAUUCAGACAAACUGUGUUCAAUAUUUUCUUUAAUGAUGUUAGUGUAAAGUACAGAAGAUAGAUGAAUUUUUAGUACAAAUAGUGAAUAAAAUAUCAUAAAAGUGUAUGAGUGAGAUGGAACAUAACGUUAUCUAAUAAAAAAUAUAACAUUGCUUUUGACUAAAUAUUUCUGGUAUAAUUGAGAAGCUAAUCAGCUUGAAACAUUAGAGGACAGAAAACAGCAUGGACGAGUUAAAUUGGUGAGACCAUGUCAGGAAUUUUAUGCACAGUGGUGGUCAUGAAUAUUUAACAAGAUAAAUUUGAACUGUGUUAGGAACAGAGAAGGAUAUCCUGCUACUGGAUGUGUUAGGAAACUAUUUUAUGGGGGAAAGAAAAAAAAUAGUGAGAGAGAAAAAAAAUCUUGAAACAAAGAAAAAAUGAAGUGUUGAUAAAUGAUCACUUUGUUUCAAGGUGCAAACUCAAAGGUGAUAAAAGAGAUACUUCACUGAAAGAACAAUCUUGGCACAAGAG